UUCAGAGGAUUAUCAUAUAGAGCUUGUUAUGCCACCAUGGUUCUUUGAAGAGAAAGCUCCACGCCUUGAAGACUUUAUUCCUAAUGUUCCUACAUCACCCGAGUUUUGUUUGGGAACGGUCAAAGCUGCUAGUCACAUGUUGCUUCCCCCUCAUCACUACAAAAUUCGAGGACAAAUUUUUCCAAGCUGGGGAGAGUUGAUGCAGAUUUAUCACCAAAUUGGGC
Molecule: long non-coding RNA, 224 nt
Organism: Telopea speciosissima
Lineage: Eukaryota; Viridiplantae; Streptophyta; Magnoliopsida; Proteales; Proteaceae
Exons: 3
Source: RefSeq, a predicted model, not a curated record